GGGCCUGCUCGGUGAUUAAUAUUUAACAGCUGCGGUAUUAUAACUGUACUAAGGUAGCAUAAUAAUUUGCUCUAUAAAUUGGGGCUAGAAUGAAUGGUUUGACGAGAAUUUAACUGUCUCUAUUUUAUUUAUUAGAAAUUAAUUUUUAUAGUGAAAAAGCUUUAAUUAUUUAAAGGGACGAAAAGACCCUAUUGAGCUUUUGUUAUUAUAUAGAUAUAUAUAUGUAUAUAUAUAUGAUUUAUUUGUAAAUAACUUUGGUUGGGGUGAUCAAGGAAUAAAAAUUAAUUUAAAGUGUUUUAUUAACUUCCUUAAUUUUAAAUUUAGUUGAAGAAUAAACCAAGUUUUUUGCUUAGAAGAUAAGUUACCAUAGGGAUAACAGCGUAAUUUUUUUUGAGAGUUCAUAUUG
This 406-nucleotide ribosomal RNA is filed under the name Octopus oshimai. RNAcentral describes it as "partial 16S ribosomal RNA". Lineage: Eukaryota; Metazoa; Mollusca; Cephalopoda; Octopoda; Octopodidae. The record is from RNAcentral.